This 338-nucleotide unclassified non-coding RNA is filed under the name soil metagenome. Its description in RNAcentral is "partial contains 5.8S ribosomal RNA, internal transcribed spacer 2, and large subunit ribosomal RNA". The stretch from base 1 to 120 matches the Rfam family "5.8S ribosomal RNA", at positions 35 to 154 of the family's 154-position model. The record is from RNAcentral.
GAUGAAGAACGUAGCGAAAUGCGAUAAGUAGUGUGAAUUGCAGAAUUCAGUGAAUCAUCGAAUCUUUGAACGCACAUUGCGCCCCUCGGUAUUCCGUGGGGCAUGCCUGUUCGAGCGUCAUUUAACCCCUCAGGCCUAGCUUGGUAUUGGGUGCUUGUCCCGCCUCUCGCGCGGCGACUCACCUCAAAGUCAUUGGCAGCCCGCAUCUCGCCGGCCGUGAGCGCAGCACAGACGCGCUCUUGGCAACGACGGAUCGGCUCUCCAAAAGCUUAUUUCAACCACUGACCUCGGAUCAGGUAGGGAUACCCGCUGAACUUAAGCAUAUCAAUAACGGAGGA